This 1261-nucleotide long non-coding RNA is filed under the name Chinchilla lanigera (long-tailed chinchilla). RNAcentral describes it as "lncRNA (ENSCLAG00000025764.1)". The record is from RNAcentral. Lineage: Eukaryota; Metazoa; Chordata; Mammalia; Rodentia; Chinchillidae.
CUUUGUGAAAAGUACCUUUGACUUCGUGCAUUUUUAUUUUAAGGAAGAUUUCAUCUUAGCCCGAGGUUUUAUUUAGCUCUUGGAUCAAAAUGAAGCCUUUCUAACUGUGUGAAGAAAGCAUUUGGAGGACACGAACAUCUUUUAUUUUUAUUUUUCUGAAAUCUUGGGCACUCUGCCAGUAGGCAGCUACAGACAGCCACGAAGGGAGUUAGGCUGUGAGCGGGUUCUCAUGGAUUAGUUCGUAUUUCCCUCUUGAAAACCUCGCUACAGCUCAAGCACGAGCAGGCAGGGCGGGAGGGAGGCUCCCGCACCGCCACUCCUCCGCCCAGGUCACGGACGUGCGCUUUCCGGCUCUGCCUUCCCAAGCUUACUCCAAGGCAGAGAGCAGCGUCCCCGAGCGUGUCGAGGUCUAAAAGGCUCUGACUAAAAUCCUGCCGCGUCCUCAGCCUCCGAAAGUGCAUCCCUCCGUCUCCCCUCACCCAGCGUCCUUGGGGGACACCCCUCCAGAGCGUACCCCUGCCUGCUACGGAGGCCCCGGUCUCACCCACGUCCAGCCAACUCCUGGACCCGAUUUGGGCGAGCGCAGCCGGGACCCCUCUGCUCCGGGCUUUUUAUUCGCGGCCCCUCCUCGUGCCUGUUCCCAGCCUUGCUCCUAGCAGCCCCCGCCAGCAGUGCACCGACCUACAGGAAAGUUGCUCGGGAGCUGUGGAGGGGCGUCAUCGCCUCCUAGCAACGCUCCUAGCAACCGGGUAACAUCUGCUCCCUCUGGGCCAAUGCGAGCGCAGAGCUGCGCGCCCGCCUCGCGUUCUGAACCCAGAGAGAGCGUCUCCGGAGAGCGGAGGGACGGACCUGCCGGAGCCAGGGCUGCCCCGAGCUGCAGCCGCCGCCGCCGCCUCCGCCGCCGCUCUCAGCGCCCUCUGAAGAGCGACAGCGCCGCAGAAGCCCGAGGAGCAGCAACCCCGCACCUUUCCCAAACAGGUGCCUGCGCGAUCGCCCGCCCGGUCCGGGCCCCAGCUCUCAGAUCUCAGGUAACCAUUCAUGAGCCUGAGGCUGUGAGAAAUGCCCGCUGUGCAAAGGGGAACUCUUACCAGAUUUUCUGAAGCUGUCCCAGAAAUACAUUUCUCAGAUUGAGUCAGCAUUACCAGCUUAUCCAACAAAAGUACUAACAUAUUCAUUAACAACGUCGAAAGUAGCCUACUUUAAGAGAAAAUAUGCAGAAGAAGAAGAUUUACAUCAGGAUUACCAUGGGUAUUUUCCAAAA